RNAcentral lists this ribosomal RNA (467 nucleotides) under uncultured bacterium. RNAcentral's name for it is "partial 16S ribosomal RNA". It matches the Rfam family "Bacterial small subunit ribosomal RNA", at positions 28 to 506 of the family's 1533-position model. The record is from RNAcentral.
GACGAACGCUGGCGGCGUGCUUAACACAUGCAAGUCGAACGGAAAGGCCCUGCUUUUGUGGGGUGCUCGAGUGGCGAACGGGUGAGUAACACGUGAGUAACCUGCCCUUGACUUUGGGAUAACUUCAGGAAACUGGGGCUAAUACCGGAUAGGAGCUCCUGCUGCAUGGUGGGGGUUGGAAAGUUUCGGCGGUUGGGGAUGGACUCGCGGCUUAUCAGCUUGUUGGUGGGGGAGUGGCUUACCAAGGCUUUGACGGGUAGCCGGCCUGAGGGGGUGACCGGCCACAUUGGGGCUGAGGUACCGCCCAGACGCCUACGGGAGGCAGCAGUGGGGAAUAUCUCCCAAAGGGCGGAGGCCUGAUGCAGCACCGCCGCGUGCGGGAUGACGGCCUUCGGGUUGUAAACCGCUUUCGCCUGUGACGAAGCGUGAGUGACGGUAAUGGGUAAAGAAGCACCGGCGAAUUACGU